This 253-nucleotide ribosomal RNA is filed under the name uncultured microorganism. Its description in RNAcentral is "partial 16S ribosomal RNA". It matches the Rfam family "Bacterial small subunit ribosomal RNA", at positions 524 to 776 of the family's 1533-position model. The record is from RNAcentral.
UACGGAGGGUGCAAGCGUUAAUCGGAAUUACUGGGCGUAAAGCGUGCGCAGGCGGCCCGUUAAGACAGGUGUGAAAUCCCUGGGCUCAACCUAGGAAUUGCGCUUGUGACUGGCGGGCUCGAGUACGGUAGAGGGGGGUGGAAUUCCUGGUGUAGCAGUGAAAUGCGUAGAGAUCAGGAGGAACACCGAUGGCGAAGGCGGCCCCCUGGGCCUGUACUGACGCUGAUGCACGAAAGCGUGGGGAGCAAACAGG